UGUAGAUUCGGUAGAAUACGAGCGGCAACAAUUGAUUCACAUUCAUUUCCUCUAUGCUGAAAAACAUGCAUCCCUGUAACAGAUAAACUCACUUUCUUUCUAUAAGUUUGUGAUCUUUCAUGCCUUUUGCAGAUGGAAUAAAUAAAUAAAAAGAAUUAAAAUCACAACCUCUCUAGGUAGCAGAAUUUGCUGCAAGCUGUUGGCCAUCGUGGUCCAAAGCACCAGGUGAUACAAGAAGCUUGGUGGUUGGUCAUGGGGAAUGUUGCAGGCUCGGAGCUAUAUGGUCUGAAGAGAAUUAUUUUUGCAGAUUGUGUGCUUAACACUCGCAUGCAAUUGCCACAUACGUGCAAUGCCCAGGUAAUAUUGCCUCCCGCAUGUGAAUGAAGUUUGAUAAGCGAACCUUAAUUAACAUGACUAUAUUGUUCUGCUCUUGGGUGACUUUAUGUUGUGCCCGAGAUUUUUCUAAACUUUUACUUAAACAACAAUGAUAAUUGAGUAGCGAACUAAAUGUCAGUCUUCAGUAUGCUCGAGCCAACACGAAAUUGCCAAUAUAUUAUUUCCAGAUUUUUAUUGUUUCUUGCCUAUGUUGCAAUAUGGCUGCUGUUAUAAUAUUUCAGAGACUGUCAUUGAGCUCCUCAAAACACUAGCUGAUGAGGGAAGAGUGGUAGAUGGAUGCUAGGAUGGAGGCAACAGAGAAUUGUUUUCAGUUGGAAGGUGUAAAGGCGACAAGCAAAGGCCACCCAGAGCUCUGCCAGGGCGCCUGCUAUCUUGUUUCUAGAGAAUGAGAUGUACAUCAGUUUGAUAGACUAGAAUCAAAAAACAUGGCAUGCUGAACUAGGUGUCUCAGGGGGCAGUAAUUGGAGAGCAGGUAACACCCAAAGAUACACAAACAUUGCCGAUUUACCCUUUUUGUGUUAUGACUGAAAUCUUGGCAUCAAUUUGAAAACAAGUCCUCUCGCACGGAAUAGUCUGUUACGUUCUCAUGUCUUCUCUCAUGUCUUCUCUUCUUUUUUCUUUUGCUGGAACUCUAUAUUGACUGUUUUGUUCUUUGUACCGUCACAUUGUUCCUGCAUUUUCAGUCAGUUUGUGUGUUCUUAAUGUUCGAGGAGACGACACAUUUAUUUUGGAUAGUCAAGUGCCUUGGAAGUACUUAGGCUGAAAAAAGAAGAGAUAACACUUCUAUAUCCCCGAUUUCUCUUUAAGAAAUUGUUUGUUGUGGGGAAUGGCAGCGUACAUCAUACUUUGUUAGAUUUUUUUAUAUAAAAAUAGGAUGACACAUUACCUCAUCUUAGUCAUCUGCGCUAGGUAUAACCAUCACUUUUAGUUGUGGAAGUCCCUGUUUAGUCUCUCCAUUUUUACACAGGAUACAUUUUGCUGCAAUAUGAAUAGGCUAUAUAUUGACGAAUUGCCUAUCCUAGGAUCACUUAUGAGAUAUUCAUGUAUUUAUGAAGGAAGAGAUACACUUUGAUUGAAUCAACUUUGUGUAGCUAUCAGGAUGAAGUUCAUAGUUGUUUGCCGGAAAUUGUACGACUACGUGAGGUAUGAUCUCAAAGAGAUCAUAUUCCCGUCUUCUCUGCCAGAUCAUCCGAGCACCAAGAGGCGUCCUAAGCUCACACUAAAAGAUGGAAUUCUAUACUGUAUAUGUUUCAGUGUGUGUUUUUCUUGAGCCUUGAUUUGAUUCAGAUAUGUGAACAAGAAUUUCAGCAACCAGUGUAAGGCUAUGAUGGAAGCCGAUUUCCUCUACAAGGAGGUGCCUUCAAGGAUAGACUCUUCUUCACUGUGAAGACUUCUCCGAUCUGAAGCGCAAGGAGAUACGUCAGCAAGAUAAUUAUGGCCGUCCUCCUCAUAGCCAUGUGCAUGGUCAUGCUCACCCAGCCACCCUGCCAAGCAAGAUAAUUAUGGCCGUCCUCCUCAUAACCUUUUACUAUCUCAUAGCCACCCUGUCAUCACUCUGUUACUUUUGUUAUUAAUUUCUUAUUGUAAUGUAGCUAUAAAUCUCUAUCAAAAUGCAAGGACUUGUGUCUGACUAAUUUACAUUGCAGUACGGGAGUUCACGGAGUGCAUGCCAAUGAGGAGGGAGCUGAAGAAGGUGAAGAUCCCAAUGAGAUAAAGAAGAUGAACUAGCGCUCGCCCUAGAUGCAGAUGUCUUGCAUUUAUGCCAACAACUGUUUGUGUUCAAACCUGAACAAAAACUGCUUCGUGUAGUGUUACAGGUGAGGUUUUAAUUUGCUUUCCCUUGCCCAAUCUUGUAGGAAGUUUGUUAUCUUACAUGCUAUCACAUGCUUUUCAUAAUGCAUGGACAGAAUUGCUAGCAUUGGUUGCGUAUUAGAUGAUUCUGUUGAUGCAUGGGAUGAAUUUUUAUAGAACUUAAUAGGUACCCAACAUUUAUAUAUAUGUUUGUGAGAGCUGAGAACAUUUGUGUCGGGAGUUUUCAAAGUCUCUACUCCACUACCUCCUUUCGCCAUAACUUAGGCGCUUCUCCCGCCGGCGUGCACUCAGAGGUAAAUAAAUAGGCACUCGGAUGUGAUGUGAGCUGUAAUGUGAAUUCUAAUAAGUAUUCUCUUUUCCUGAAUAUUUUCUGAUAAUUUAGUGCCACUUUAUCUGCAAAAUUGCGUUUUCUGACAAAUUGGGUUCCAGUUCACCUGUAGAAUGAGGAGGGUCAUGGUCGCUAGAGUUACUAGGAACAUUCAUAAUCUGGGAAAACAUUAUCCAGGUGGGGUAGAUAAAUAUAUGAUCAACUCCACUGUCAACUUGUCAGUUUACAAGGAUACAUGAAACUCUUCACCCAGUGAUGAUAAGAUGGCAUCCACCCUAGAUUGUGAAUUACUAUUUUUUGUAAGCAUGUUAAUGAUCGGAACCUGCAAGUGCUUGGUCAGCCGUAUGCAGAGUAAAUGAAUGUUCCUCCUCCUGGAAGGCAUAUGUAAGGCAUUGAGCUUUUGUGAGAUCUGAAUUUUGAAGUGCAACAUCAGUGAACUUGGUAGAAAAUAGUUGAAUGUGAAGAAGCAACACAAU
This is a long non-coding RNA of Lolium rigidum, 3012 nucleotides long. RefSeq lists it as uncharacterized. Lineage: Eukaryota; Viridiplantae; Streptophyta; Magnoliopsida; Poales; Poaceae. The record is from RefSeq and is a predicted model, not a curated record. The transcript has 4 exons.